Molecule: long non-coding RNA, 656 nt
Organism: Chlorocebus sabaeus (green monkey)
Lineage: Eukaryota; Metazoa; Chordata; Mammalia; Primates; Cercopithecidae
Source: RefSeq, a predicted model, not a curated record
GGCUCAAGGAUGAUGAAAGAGCCCAAUUUUCUAGAAGAAAAAGAAAAAAAAAAAACACCACUGAGGCUUCUGGGAAAAUGCAGUCUCAUGCAGUGAAUCGACACGUCGUUUUCCUGAAACGUGGACAUGGGGGUGAAAGCUAGAGGCUUCUCUCUGACCUGGAGAAUUGCAGAAUUUCAACAAAUAGGCGGACGUUGACUAACAUUGAUAGAAACUGAUUGCACAUUUGCACCCUCCGACUCAAGUGAUCUCCCAUAAACCCUGCGCCUUCCCGUUUACCUAUGGUGAUGUCACCUACUACAGCUGCAUCUCCACCCGCAGUGACUUUGACUGGUGUUCUCUUGACAAGGAAUUCCAAGGCAGGUGGCGCUACUGCACAGGGCUAGAUUCUCCUCAGUGUGUCUUCCCCUUCGUCUUCAGACAAAAAGCCGUUCACAAUUGCACCAAGGAAGGCUAUAUUCUGAAUCGGAGUUGGUGUUCAUUGACAGAAAAUUACGAUAAAGAUAGGAAAUGGAAGCAAUGUUCUCCUCAGAAUACUUAGAUACCUCUUGGUGUUCUUGAAGAGACAGAAGUCACACAUUCAUCAGCUGCCUCUCAAAAUAUACUUCUAUCCUUUCCAAUGCUGACCAUUCUGAUCAAUAAAGAUUUGAUCUCUU